RNAcentral lists this ribosomal RNA (485 nucleotides) under uncultured bacterium. Its description in RNAcentral is "bacterial SSU rRNA". It matches the Rfam family "Bacterial small subunit ribosomal RNA", at positions 30 to 507 of the family's 1533-position model. The record is from RNAcentral.
AUUGAACGCUGGCGGAAUGCUUUACACAUGCAAGUCGAACGGCAGCACGGGAGCAAUCCUGGUGGCGAGUGGCGAACGGGUGAGUAAUAUAUCGGAACGUGCCCAGUCGUGGGGGAUAACGUAGCGAAAGCUACGCUAAUACCGCAUACGAUCUAUGGAUGAAAGCGGGGGGAUCGCAAGACCUCGCGCGAUUGGAGCGGCCGAUAUCAGAUUAGGUAGUUGGUGAGGUAAAGGCUCACCAAGCCGACGAUCUGUAGCUGGUCUGAGAGGACGACCAGCCACACUGGGACUGAGACACGGCCCAGACUCCUACGGGAGGCAGCAGUGGGGAAUUUUGGACAAUGGGCGCAAGCCUGAUCCAGCAAUGCCGCGUGCAGGAUGAAGGCCUUCGGGUUGUAAACUGCUUUUGUACGGAACGAAACGGUGAGCUCUAAUACAGUUUGCUAAUGACGGUACCGUAAGAAUAAGCACCGGCUAACUACGUG